Molecule: long non-coding RNA, 443 nt
Filed under: Elaeis guineensis (African oil palm)
Lineage: Eukaryota; Viridiplantae; Streptophyta; Magnoliopsida; Arecales; Arecaceae
Description: long non-coding RNA (EGUI_LNC036155)
Source: RNAcentral
CAAUCUCACAAUAACAAAAACAUCCCACGUUACAAAGACAUCCCAAUAAAAACAUUCCAAUUAUCAAUUUAUCAUAGACAAUAGAGAUACCUGCUAUGGUUGAUGAAUGGUGAAUGGUGACCGAGGAACACCAACGACCAAUCUAUUAGGGGCAAAGACCGAAGGAACACUAAUGGCCAGCAUUGAAAUCUUAAUUUUGAGAGGAAAGGGGAAUAGAAAUUGAGGAAUAUGAACACCGAAGUUUUGGAAGAAGAGGAAUUCGGUAGGAGCCAUACCUAAAAUGGUGAAUGGCAAUGGGUGAAGAUAAGAAGACCAACAUCGAUGAUGGCCGAUGAGAAAAGAUAGAAGACCGACAUCGUCGUGUCAGCAAUGGGGGAAGACAGAAGAUUGGAGUCGGCGAUGGUCAAUAGGAGAAGAUAAAAAAUUAGUGUCGAUGAUGGGGC